GCGGCGCUGCCAUAAACACACCAAGAUGGCGGCCCUCACGCCGCCAGCCCGUGCUGCGUCAUGCCGCCCCCGGCCCCGCCGAGCGCCGCGCCCGCAGACUUCUGCAGAUUUUUUGUUAGUAUCGUGCUAAUCAAGAUGGAAAUCAGGUUUGCUACCUGUGCACCUCAUAAGCUGCUGCAGAGGCAGAGUGAGAGUGGCUUGUAGUACUAGAAAAUACUUGACCUGUGCGUAAGAGCGGGGAGUUGGAAGCCUUGUGGGUUGUAGUCAGGGCACACGAGUAAUUCCGUCGGUGCGAUGCUAGAAGGAUUUUGGUUCAUAGGAAACAAGUGAAAAAUACAUAGAAUUGUAGCCCUGAAGGGGCAGGUGGUGGAACCAGAGUUUAAGAAACAGCCAGACAAACUUACAAGGCUUUCAAAAACGAGAACUGGCAGCAAACACUGGAAACCAGAGAGUUUUUUUAAAGCAUAUGGAAAUAUGCAGCGUCUUAGCAAUAACAAGGACAAAAAAAAAAUGUGUGCUAGACUCCAAGACUAAUGUGGGUUUUGCUUAAAAACAGGGUUCUUCAGAUGAUAAUGGGGAACCUACGGAGACUUUUUGCAUCAAGUCUGCGUAUCUGUAGCCUGACUGAAGCAAAGCAAAAAUCACGUGCGUGUUAGAUGCGAGGAGACAAACCAUAUUUGUGUUGGACUAAGAGCUAGAUCCUCGCUGGAGAAAAUGGCAUCCCCCCUUAGAGUAUGCAUGUAACCCACAUGGUCUUUGUGCCAGAGGGUGUUGGGGAUUAUUCACCUUUGCAGACAUGUAUCUUCUCCCUCUGAACAGCGUCAUAGUAACUGCUGGAGAAUGGAUUAAAAUUUUGAAACAGCGGUCAAGGCAUACUUGAACUAUAAAAUAGCGAUUCUUCUCUCAUCACCUCAGCCUGUGAAAUGUAGGAUUCCCCACCCUCCAUUUAUGCCGUACCAAAAUCAGGAGGAUUUUUCUACUGGAAUAGUAAUGGUGGUGUAAAAAUACCUCAAAGUGAGAGCAAAUGGUUCAUCAGUUACGCAGCUUGCUUCCUUUUCAAAACUCACCAUUGUACACACAGAAUUUGUUAGUGUUUUCUACCAAGUUUUUUUUGUUGUUUUUUUCCCCAGCAACAGCAGAUUCUUUAAUGAUUAAUCUACAAAUGGUGGUAAAUCUGCGAGUUUUAGGAUAUAUGCUUAAGUCAUCUGUGUCAUCUUACGUCAGUAUUGCAUAAUCUGUUGACUGUCCCCUUUUUAUGUAAUGUAUGUUUGUAGUUUGUUUUAAAAUGUACAAAUAUUUUUUUUCCACUGCGUGCUUCUCCUCAGAUAUUUCAUAUUUGUCUCUCCAUUGCCCUCUUGAGUUAAAAACUUGUAAGACACCAUUUUGAUAGCUGGAUCCAGUGGAGUGUUACAUAUUUCUCUUUCAAAAACAGUCUGCACAACAUCUUGGGACAUGCUCUUUGCCAGGUAAGUUAUUUAGAGUGUUAUACCACUGCUGGAGUUUCUGCUUCCUCCUGGUAGAAACAUGACAGCAACUUCUACUUGUGAAGUCCAUCAACAUCACAAAUGAACUCUUUAUAAAAACUUAAUAACACAUUAACUUUUACUAUGUAAAA
Molecule: long non-coding RNA, 1615 nt
Organism: Grus americana (Whooping crane)
Lineage: Eukaryota; Metazoa; Chordata; Aves; Gruiformes; Gruidae
Exons: 2
Source: RefSeq, a predicted model, not a curated record